AGGAAAGAAAACAGGAUGGCGUAGAGAAGGGGGGAGGAGGGAAGGAUAGUAGAUGAAACGAGAAGUAUAUUUUUCGUUUCUACUUUGAAUUAUUAUUAGUAAGCUGAACGCCUUUGUACACAGAAGACUGGAAUUACUGUCAUUUUUCUCGUUAAAACAUGAGAUUACGUAUUCUAAUGUUGGAAUUUCGUGAUUCUGAAACAUUAGUUGAUAUCACAAUAUAGGAUGCAUUUCUAAAAUUAUGGAAGUGUGGCAAAAAUUUGGUAACGAGAUGCAUCUAACAAUAUUUGUCAAAUAUGGCUGAAGCUGUAAUUCACAUGCAAUGUGUUACACGUCACAAAUCAAUAACUUAUGUCGAAGCAAAGUGAAGAAUAAGAAAUCGCAACUAUUAAAAGAGUGUUGGAUCUGUUUUAGCAUAUAUAUAGAAAUGUUUGUUAUAUUUUCAUCAUAAAAUUGUUGAUUUAUUCUAAAUUGGUUUAGGCAGAAUUUGUAAGAACUUCGCUAUAACACGGAAUGACUUGUUUCGUUCAGUGAAUUAAAAGUAGUUUUAGAAGUUUUAAGGAAAUAAGUACUACU
This is a non-coding RNA of Megalopta genalis, 576 nucleotides long. The record is from RefSeq and is a predicted model, not a curated record. Lineage: Eukaryota; Metazoa; Arthropoda; Insecta; Hymenoptera; Halictidae.